UGGGGAAUAUUGCACAAUGGGGGAAACCCUGAUGCAGCGACGCCGCGUGAACGAAGAAGGUAUUCGUAUCGUAAAGUUCUGUCCUAUGGGAAGAUAAUGACAGUACCAUAGAAGAAAGCUCCGGCUAAAUACGUGCCAGCAGCCGCGGUAAUACGUAUGGAGCGAGCGUUGUCCGGAAUUAUUGGGCGUAAAGGGUACGCAGGCGGUUUAAUAAGUCGAAUGUUAAAGAUCGGGGCCCAACCCCGUAAAGCAUUGGAAACUGAUAAACUUGAGUAGUGGAGAGGAAAGUGGAAUUCCUAGUGUAGUAGUGAAAUACGUAGAUAUUAGGAGGAAUACCAGUAGCGAAGGCGACUUUCUGGACACAAACUGACGCUGAGGUACGAAAGCGUGGGGAGCAAACAGG
RNAcentral lists this ribosomal RNA (403 nucleotides) under Actinomycetes bacterium. RNAcentral's name for it is "Actinobacteria bacterium partial 16S ribosomal RNA". It matches the Rfam family "Bacterial small subunit ribosomal RNA", at positions 355 to 776 of the family's 1533-position model. Lineage: Bacteria; Bacillati; Actinomycetota; Actinomycetes. The record is from RNAcentral.